Molecule: ribosomal RNA, 253 nt
Filed under: uncultured bacterium
Lineage: Bacteria
Description: partial 16S ribosomal RNA
Rfam family: Bacterial small subunit ribosomal RNA
Source: RNAcentral
UACAGAGGUCUCAAGCGUUGUUCGGAUUCAUUGGGCGUAAAGGGUGUGUAGGUGGCGCGCUAAGUCGGGUGUGAAAUUUCGGAGCUUAACUCCGAAACUGCAUUCGAUACUGGCGUGCUUGAGGACUGGAGAGGAGACUGGAAUUCCGCGUGUAGCAGUGAAAUGCGUAGAGAUGCGGAGGAACACCGAUGGCGAAGGCAGCCCCCUGGGUCGACACUGACGCUCAGGCACGAAAGCGUGGGGAGCAAACAGG